RNAcentral lists this ribosomal RNA (253 nucleotides) under uncultured bacterium. RNAcentral's name for it is "partial 16S ribosomal RNA". It matches the Rfam family "Bacterial small subunit ribosomal RNA", at positions 524 to 776 of the family's 1533-position model. The record is from RNAcentral.
UACGAAGGGGGCUAGCGUUGCUCGGAAUUACUGGGCGUAAAGCGCACGUAGGCGGCUUCUUAAGUCGGUGGUGAAAUCCUGGAGCUCAACUCCAGAACUGCCUUCGAAACUGGGAAGCUCGAGUUCGGGAGAGGUGAGUGGAACUGCGAGUGUAGAGGUGAAAUUCGUAGAUAUUCGCAAGAACACCAGUGGCGAAGGCGGCUCACUGGCCCGAUACUGACGCUGAGGUGCGAAAGCGUGGGGAGCAAACAGG